CAGCAGCCGCGGGAAUACGGAGGGGGCUAGCGUUGUUCGGAAUUACCGGGCGUAAAGCGCACGUAGGCGGCUUGGUAAGUUAGAGGUGAAAGCCUGGAGCUCAACUCCAGAAUUGCCUUUAAGACUGCCGAGCUAGCAGGUGAGAGAGGUAAGUGGAAUUCCGAGUGUAGAGGUGAAAUUCGUAGAUAUUCGGAAGAACACCAGUGGCGAAGGCGGCUUACUGGCUCAUACUGGACGCUGAGGUGCGAAAGCGUGGGGAGCAAACAGGAUUAGAGACCCCCGUAGUCCCUGUCUCUUAUAC
This 301-nucleotide ribosomal RNA is filed under the name uncultured bacterium. RNAcentral describes it as "partial 16S ribosomal RNA". It matches the Rfam family "Bacterial small subunit ribosomal RNA", at positions 509 to 807 of the family's 1533-position model. The record is from RNAcentral.